This 465-nucleotide ribosomal RNA is filed under the name Vreelandella stevensii. RNAcentral's name for it is "partial 16S ribosomal RNA". It matches the Rfam family "Bacterial small subunit ribosomal RNA", at positions 338 to 795 of the family's 1533-position model. The record is from RNAcentral. Lineage: Bacteria; Pseudomonadati; Pseudomonadota; Gammaproteobacteria; Oceanospirillales; Halomonadaceae.
CCUACGGGAGGCUGCAGUGGGGAACAUUGGACAAUGGGGGGAACCCUGAUCCAGCCAUGCCGCGUGUGUGAAGAAGGCCCUCGGGUUGUAAAGCACUUUCAGUGAGGAAGAACGCCUGGUGGUUAAUACCCAUCAGGAAAGACAUCACUCACAGAAGAAGCACCGGCUAACUCCGUGCCAGCAGCCGCGGUAAUACGGAGGGUGCGAGCGUUAAUCGGAAUUACUGGGCGUAAAGCGCGCGUAGGUGGCUUGAUAAGCCGGUUGUGAAAGCCCCGGGCUCAACCUGGGAACGGCAUCCGGAACUGUCAAGCUAGAGUGCAGGAGAGGAAGGUAGAAUUCCCGGUGUAGCGGUGAAAUGCGUAGAGAUCGGGAGGAAUACCAGUGGCGAAGGCGGCCUUCUGGACUGACACUGACACUGAGGUGCGAAAGCGUGGGUAGCAAACAGGAUUAGAUACCCCUGUAGUC